CCUACGGGGGGCUGCAGUGGGGAAUAUUGGACAAUGGGGGCAACCCUGAUCCAGCCAUGCCGCGUGUGUGAAGAAGGCCCUCGGGUUGUAAAGCACUUUCAGUGAGGAAGAACGCCUGGUGGUUAAUACCCAUCAGGAAAGACAUCACUCACAGAAGAAGCACCGGCGAACUCCGUGCCAGCAGCCGCGGUAAUACGGAGGGUGCGAGCGUUAAUCGGAAUUACUGGGCGUAAAGCGCGCGUAGGUGGCUUGAUAAGCCGGUUGUGAAAGCCCCGGGCUCAACCUGGGAACGGCAUCCGGAACUGUCAAGCUAGAGUGCAGGAGAGGAAGGUAGAAUUCCCGGUGUAGCGGUGAAAUGCGUAGAGAUCGGGAGGAAUACCAGUGGCGAAGGCGGCCUUCUGGACUGACACUGACACUGAGGUGCGAAAGCGUGGGUAGCAAACAGGAUUAGAUACCCCGGUAGUC
Molecule: ribosomal RNA, 465 nt
Filed under: Vreelandella stevensii
Lineage: Bacteria; Pseudomonadati; Pseudomonadota; Gammaproteobacteria; Oceanospirillales; Halomonadaceae
Description: partial 16S ribosomal RNA
Rfam family: Bacterial small subunit ribosomal RNA
Source: RNAcentral